UACAGGGGGUGCUAGCGUUGUUCGGAAUUACUGGGCGUAAAGCGCACGUAGGCGGCUUAGUAAGUUGGAUGUGAAAUCCCUCGGCUUAACCAAGGAAGUGCAUCCAAAACUACUGAGCUUGAGUACUAAAGAGGAUCGCGGAAUUCCCGGUGUAGUGGUGAAAUGCGUAGAUAUCGGGAGGAACACCAGUGGCGAAGGCGGCUUCCUGGCCUGUUCUUGACGCUGAGGCGCGAAAGCUAGGGUAGCAAACGGG
Molecule: ribosomal RNA, 253 nt
Filed under: uncultured bacterium
Lineage: Bacteria
Description: partial 16S ribosomal RNA
Rfam family: Bacterial small subunit ribosomal RNA
Source: RNAcentral